This 46-nucleotide non-coding RNA is filed under the name Schistosoma haematobium. Lineage: Eukaryota; Metazoa; Platyhelminthes; Trematoda; Strigeidida; Schistosomatidae. The record is from RNAcentral.
GCAUUACUGAAGAGUCCGACAAUAGGACGAAACGGCCAUCCAAUGC